CUACGGGCGGCAGCAGUGGGGAAUAUUGGGCAAUGGGCGCAAGCCUGACCCAGCAACGCCGCGUGAGGGAAGAAUGUCUUCGGAUUGUAAACCUCUGUCCUUGGGGACGAAAAAAAUGACGGUACCCAAGGAGGAAGCUCCGGCUAACUACGUGCCAGCAGCCGCGGUAAUACGUAGGGAGCAAGCGUUGUCCGGAAUUAUUGGGCGUAAAGGGUGCGUAGGCGGCGCUGUAAGUCAGAUGUGAAAUCCCCGGGCUUAACUCGGGAGUUGCAUUUGAAACUAAAGUGCUUGAGUAAAGAAGGGGUAAGUGGAAUUCCUAGUGUAGCGGUGGAAUGCGUAGAUAUUAGGAGGAACACCAGUGGCGAAGGCGACUUACUGGUCUUUUACUGACGCUGAGGCACGAAAGCGUGGGGAGCAAACAGGAUUAGAUACCCUGGUAGUC
This 442-nucleotide ribosomal RNA is filed under the name uncultured bacterium. RNAcentral describes it as "partial 16S ribosomal RNA". It matches the Rfam family "Bacterial small subunit ribosomal RNA", at positions 339 to 795 of the family's 1533-position model. The record is from RNAcentral.